RNAcentral lists this ribosomal RNA (468 nucleotides) under uncultured bacterium. RNAcentral's name for it is "partial 16S ribosomal RNA". It matches the Rfam family "Bacterial small subunit ribosomal RNA", at positions 28 to 507 of the family's 1533-position model. The record is from RNAcentral.
GACGAACGCUGGCGGCGUGCUUAACACAUGCAAGUCGAACGGAAAGGCCCUGCUUUUGUGGGGUGCUCGAGUGGCGAACGGGUGAGUAACACGUGAGUAACCUGCCCUUGACUUUGGGAUAACUUCAGGAAACUGGGGCUAAUACCGGAUAGGAGCUCCUGCUGCAUGGUGGGGGUUGGAAAGUUUCGGCGGUUGGGGAUGGACUCGCGGCUUAUCAGCUUGUUGGUGGGGUAGUGGCUUACCAAGGCCUUGACGGGUAGCCGGCCUGAGAGGGUGACCGGCCACAUUGGGACUGAGGUACGGCCCAGACUCCUACGGGAGGCAGCAGUGGGGAAUAUUGCACAGUGGGCGGAAGCCUGAUGCAGCAACGCCGCGUGCGGGAUGACGGCCUUCGGGUUGUAAACCGCUUUCGCCUGUGACGAAGCGUGAGUGACGGUAAUGGGUAAAGAAGCACCGGCUAACUACGUG